RNAcentral lists this ribosomal RNA (460 nucleotides) under uncultured bacterium. RNAcentral's name for it is "partial 16S ribosomal RNA". It matches the Rfam family "Bacterial small subunit ribosomal RNA", at positions 338 to 795 of the family's 1533-position model. The record is from RNAcentral.
CCUACGGGUGGCAGCAGUGAGGAAUAUUGGUCAAUGGACGAGAGUCUGAACCAGCCCAGUAGCGUGAAGGAUGACUGCCCUAUGGGUUGUAAACUUCUUUUAUAAAGGAAUAAAACGAGGCACGUGUGCCUUUUUGCAUGUACUUUAUGAAUACGGCUCGGCUAACUCCGUGCCAGCAGCCGCGGUAAUACGGAGGAUCCGAGCGUUAUCCGGAUUUAUUGGGUUUAAAGGGAGCGUAGAUGGGUUGUUAAGUCAGUUGUGAAAGUUUGCGGCUCAACCGUAAAAUUGCAAUUGAUACUGGCAGUCUUGAGUACAGUUGAGGUAGGCGGAAUUCGUGGUGUAGCGGUGAAAUGCUUAGAUAUCACGAAGAACCCCGAUUGCGUAGGCAGCUUACUAAACUGUGACUGACAUUGAUGCUCGAAAGUGUGGGUAGCAAACAGGAUUAGAUACCCUGGUAGUC